Molecule: ribosomal RNA, 718 nt
Filed under: uncultured Bacteroidota bacterium
Lineage: Bacteria; Pseudomonadati; Bacteroidota
Description: bacterial SSU rRNA
Rfam family: Bacterial small subunit ribosomal RNA
Source: RNAcentral
CGAGGGGUAACAUGAGUGCUUGCACUUGAUGACGACCGGCGCACGGGUGCGUAACGCGUAUACAAUCUACCUAUUACUAAGAGAUAGCCCAGAGAAAUUUGGAUUAAUAUUUUAUGGUAUUACGACUUGGCAUCAGGUUGUAAUUAAAGGUUACGGUAAUAGAUGAGUAUGCGUCCUAUUAGCUAGAUGGUAAGGUAACGGCUUACCAUGGCGACGAUAGGUAGGGGUCCUGAGAGGGAGAUCCCCCACACUGGUACUGAGACACGGACCAGACUCCUACGGGAGGCAGCAGUGAGGAAUAUUGGACAAUGGGAGCAAUCCUGAUCCAGCCAUGCCGCGUGCAGGAAGACUGCCCUAUGGGUUGUAAACUGCUUUUAUACAGGAAGAAAAAGGUGUACGUGUACACUGUUGACGGUACUGUAAGAAUAAGGAUCGGCUAACUCCGUGCCAGCAGCCGCGGUAAUACGGAGGAUCCAAGCGUUAUCCGGAAUCAUUGGGUUUAAAGGGUCCGUAGGCGGGAUAAUAAGUCAGUGGUGAAAGUCUGCAGCUCAACUGUAGAAUUGCCAUUGAUACUGUUGUUCUUGAGUUAUUGUGAAGUGGUUAGAAUGAGUAGUGUAGCGGUGAAAUGCAUAGAUAUUACUCAGAAUACCGAUUGCGAAGGCAGAUCACUAACAAUACACUGACGCUGAUGGACGAAAGCGUAGGUAGCGAACAGGAU